AGUGAAUUGCCAUCUUAGCCUAUAUACGCCAUAGGCUGAGAAAAACUAAGUAAUACAUAUAUUGCUGUGUGUAGUCUUUGCCUGUCAGCCCAUGAUAGGCUUUUUUUUUG
RNAcentral lists this non-coding RNA (110 nucleotides) under Xenorhabdus nematophila F1. The record is from RNAcentral. Lineage: Bacteria; Pseudomonadati; Pseudomonadota; Gammaproteobacteria; Enterobacterales; Morganellaceae. RNAcentral also lists the same sequence under 2 other names.